RNAcentral lists this ribosomal RNA (439 nucleotides) under uncultured bacterium. RNAcentral's name for it is "partial 16S ribosomal RNA". It matches the Rfam family "Bacterial small subunit ribosomal RNA", at positions 338 to 795 of the family's 1533-position model. The record is from RNAcentral.
CCUACGGGGGGCAGCAGUGGGGAAUAUUGCACAAUGGGGGGAACCCUGAUGCAGCGACGCCGCGUGGGUGAAGGAGUACUUCGGUACGUAAAGCCCUAUCAGCAGGGAAGAAAAUGACGGUACCUGACUAAGAAGCCCCGGCUAACUACGUGCCAGCAGCCGCGGUAAUACGGAGGAUGCGAGCGUUAUCCGGAUUUAGUGGGUUUAAAGGGUGCGCAGGCGGCCUGUUAAGUCAGCGGUAAAAGCCCGGGGCUCAACCCCGGCGAGCCGUUGAGACUGGCGGGCUGGAGUUGGGGAGAAGUAAGCGGAAUGCGGGGUGUAGCGGUGAAAUGCUUAGAUAUCGCGCAGAACACCGAUUGCGAAGGCAGCGUACCGGCUCCACACUGACGCUGAGGCACGAAAGCGUGGGUAUCGAACAGGAUUAGAUACCCCGGUAGUC